GGAACUGAGACACGGUCCAGACUCCUACGGGAGGCAGCAGUGGGGAAUAUUGCACAAUGGGCGCAAGCCUGAUGCAGCCAUGCCGCGUGUAUGAAGAAGGCCUUCGGGUUGUAAAGUACUUUCAGCGGGGAGGAAGGGAGUAAAGUCAAUACCUUUGCUCAUUGACGUUACCCGCAGAAGAAGCACCGGCUAACUCCGUGCCAGCAGCCGCGGUAAUACGGAGGGUGCAAGCGUUAAUCGGAAUUACUGGGCGUAAAGCGCACGCAGGCGGUUUGUUAAGUCAGAUGUGAAAU
Molecule: ribosomal RNA, 293 nt
Filed under: Escherichia coli
Lineage: Bacteria; Pseudomonadati; Pseudomonadota; Gammaproteobacteria; Enterobacterales; Enterobacteriaceae
Description: partial 16S ribosomal RNA
Rfam family: Bacterial small subunit ribosomal RNA
Source: RNAcentral